CGGACCGGCGUACGGGUGCGUAACGCGUAUGCAACCUACCAUCAACAGGGGGAUAACACUGAGAAAUUGGUACUAAUACCCCAUAAUAUCUCAUGCGGCAUCGCAUGGGGUUGAAAACUCCGGUGGUUGAUGAUGGGCAUGCGUUGUAUUAGCUGGUUGGUGAGGUAACGGCUCACCAAGGCGACGAUACAUAGGGGGACUGAGAGGUUAACCCCCCACAUUGGUACUGAGACACGGACCAAACUCCUACGGGAGGCAGCAG
RNAcentral lists this ribosomal RNA (262 nucleotides) under uncultured bacterium. RNAcentral's name for it is "partial 16S ribosomal RNA". It matches the Rfam family "Bacterial small subunit ribosomal RNA", at positions 91 to 354 of the family's 1533-position model. The record is from RNAcentral.